GAUGAACGCUAGCGGCAGGCUUAACACAUGCAAGUCGAGGGGUAUUGGUUUUCGGACCAAGAGACCGGCGCACGGGUGCGUAACGCGUAUGCAAUCUACCUUUUGCAGAGGGAUAGCCCCAGAGAAAUUUGGAUUAAUACCUCAUAGUAUAGUACUUUGGCAUCAAGGAACUAUUAAAGUCACAACGGCAAAAGAUGAGCAUGCGUCCCAUUAGCUAGUUGGUAAGGUAACGGCUUACCAAGGCUACGAUGGGUAGGGGUCCUGAGAGGGAGAUCCCCCACACUGGUACUGAGACACGGACCAGACUCCUACGGGAGGCAGCAGUGAGGAAUAUUGGACAAUGGGCGCAAGCCUGAUCCAGCCAUGCCGCGUGCAGGAUGACGGUCCUAUGGAUUGUAAACUGCUUUUAUACAGGAGAAACACUCCGACGUGUCGGAGCUUGACGGUACUGUAAGAAUAAGGAUCGGCUAAACUCCGUGCCAGCAGCCGACGG
RNAcentral lists this ribosomal RNA (493 nucleotides) under uncultured bacterium. RNAcentral's name for it is "bacterial SSU rRNA". It matches the Rfam family "Bacterial small subunit ribosomal RNA", at positions 28 to 520 of the family's 1533-position model. The record is from RNAcentral.